Hordeum vulgare subsp. vulgare (domesticated barley) is the source of this 98-nucleotide non-coding RNA. Lineage: Eukaryota; Viridiplantae; Streptophyta; Magnoliopsida; Poales; Poaceae. The record is from Rfam.
UUGAUACUCCCUCCGAUCCAUAUUAUUUGUCUUAGAUUUGUCUAUAUCUAUAUCUAGACAAAUCUAAGACAAGUAAUAUGGAUCGGAGGGAGUACUAG